Molecule: long non-coding RNA, 3542 nt
Filed under: Vigna radiata
Lineage: Eukaryota; Viridiplantae; Streptophyta; Magnoliopsida; Fabales; Fabaceae
Description: long non-coding RNA (VRAD_LNC001933)
Source: RNAcentral
GCCUUUUACAAAUAAAAGAAACUAACACAAGAAAAACCUAUUUCAAAUUCAAAACAAAAUAAACAAAAGAAGUUAAAGUGUUGCUGUCACGGUUUUGGUGUAUUCUGCAGAAAUAUCAUGCUCAAUCUUGUUGCUUUUGAUCAUUUCUAGNUGCUGGAGUCACUUAGCUUGUGGUCUCAAUUCUUUUCAGUUUUCUGUUGCAGCCUUACAGAUUCUCCUUUGCCUUUCAAAACUGCACAAACAAGUCAAAUUCAAUAGGCAGACAACAAUUGCAUUAUAAAACUGUAAUUGGCUCCCUUUUCUCUCGGCUUAGGCAGUCAUGGUGCUGUUUUUCCAGCAAAAUAGAAAGUCUGUAGUUUUGUAUAGCUGCUGUGACAGUGUUUGGAAACGGUGCAGAUUCUUCAAAUCCUCUCUCGGGUUUAGGUUCAAUGAGUUUGCUGAUAUGCUACAAGAAGGACUUGUUGUUGCUUAAAAAUUCAACUGCACCAAUUCUCUCUCUCGGCUUUACUGCAAUGGAUGUGGAGGAGGAAUUCAAUUUUUUCUACUGCUGCAGCUUGAAAGAAACAAAGCUUUUCACGGUUUUGUGGUUUUGCUGCAAAAUGCUUAUGCUGCAGAUUGAUGUUGGUGGUCUACUAUUUCCACGCUUAACCCUGGUCACAAAUCUGGUGUACAAUGCUUUCCAAGUCAAAUCUGCAUAAUAAAAAUUACACCAGACAACCAAUAUUCCAACUGAUGGAUACUAAANGUGACUAGUGUUACAAGUUGAAAUCAUAACUCAAUGAACAAAAUACACCAGUUAAAUCAAUGGGUUUUCAAAACUCAUUUCAUCUUGACGGUUGCAGCCAAAACAAAAUUUGCAAAUUGAUUCAAAACUUGAAUAUGAGAAGUUUACAAAUUUUUGUUUUGGAACAACUCANAAGUGUAAAUCAGCAAGUUUAUUUGACAAAAUCAGUUUUGAAUUUUGAUCCAAAUCCAUUUGGCAAUGUGAGUUUCAAUUAAUGAAUCAGAAUCAGAAACAGGGUUGGCAAAACAGCUUUGGCUUCUCACAAGAAUAGGUGUUGUUAAAGUACAACAAACUAGGCUCACAGCUGCAUGGGGUGUAUAGGAGGCUGGUGUUCCAGAUUCACUCAAACUGACUUUGCAAAGGCUGCAAUUCAGAGUUACUUAAUCCACACAAAACUCUCAGCUGCCAAAAUGCUNAAUCUGUUGCUGUCACAGCUGGAUCAACUCAAGGAUUUGUUGUACCGUGUUGUACAGUUUGGAUGUGGCAGCAGUGAAUUUUCGCUCAAACAGUUCUGCUGCAGUUUCAGCAGUUUCAGCAGUAUGACAGCAGAAUUGGCUCUCCUUGUGUCACUUUGCUUUGUUCUUCUAAUCACUUCUCCACUCCCUAAGAUGCUACCGAGACAGGGAAUUCCUGAAGCAAGCCACCUUUCCACGACAGCACCUCUAACAAUGCAGAAUCAACCCAGCAGUGAGUGGAUUUAGUGAUCAGAGAUAUACGUGCUACUGCCCAAACCAGACUGCAAUACUCACCCUUUUAUCAAACAGGUGGUAUGCAAGAAUGCCAAAAAAUGAAAUUAAAGCAAUGAAAAGGUAUAGAAACACGUUGGUACANCAAAGAGAAGCCUAGGAAUGGUUCUAACACAGAUUAAAAAAACAAGAAACAGAAUCAAACUGCAAUUGAAUCGAAUUUAGAAGUAAUUAGAAUUAUGACCAAUCUGUUUGUGAAAAUGCCUGAAUGAAAACAGAUUUUGGUGCCCAAAAUUUUCCAAUUUCCUUGCACUGGCCAAUCAGCUUUUUGUUGAUUUUCAACUCUUUUGAUUACUUACACUGUACUGUUGUAAUUAAUAAACUUUGGCCAAGCUUUUGCUACAAGCUUAUGACAACUCGAUGCACCACACAAAUCAGAAUUCAAUACCAAAAAUUAUGCAGUUUGCACUCAACAAGAAAGCUAAUUCUGGUGGUUUGUUUUAAUGAAAUUUAUAGGCACUGACUUUGAGUGGAAUUUCUCUGCAUAACCAAGUUUUAAUGAGCAAAAUAAACUUGUAGACAGUAGCUUUUGAAGCUAAAUUCAAUCCAUCCAGAAUUAGACUGUUUGAAACUCAAUUAUGCAGUAGAAUUGACUUGAUUUUCACAACUCAACCAACCAGAAUUUGCUUCAAUGAAUCAAAUGACCUUUGGAACAACAUUUGCAUCCAGAUUUAUCAUUUAAAACUUGAAGAAAACAGUGGAAUCAGUUUUAAAGAUGUCCAGCAAUGAUCUACUACUGAACCAACUUGGAAAACACCAAAAAAAAAUGAAAAGCAAUGAAAGUGNAGUACGGUCAACUGCAGAUCUGGCUCAUAUAAUAUUUCAAAUGAUGUUAUCCAGCAUCAUUUCAGUGCUAUCAUGUAUACAUCAUACAUUUUCCAGAAAACUGACUCAGCACAGAAUCAAAAAUUGCAAAAAUUCACUUAGAAUAACUGCAACGAUUAAAAUCACGCUUAUCUCAACUCUGAGCUACAAAUCUGGUUUGUUUAACACAAUUAUACUUUGAGCUCAUCAUUAUGAUUUGUCAUUGCUCUUUAAUUGUGCAGAGUUGUUAAGCUUCAUUCAACUUUGACAAAGGCAGAACACACAAGUUUCAAUAGAAAACAGAAUUUGAAGAACAAAACAGUAACACUUUUAUGACAUGACAGUACAUGACAGAGUUGAUUUCUCAAAAUCAAAUUACUCAAAGCAUGGAAUGACCGAAUAAAAUGAAGAAAAAACACUCAAUGAUAGGUUAGCACACAAUAAAACUCACAAACAGAACCUACUGUAGAAGAAACUUAAUGGAACAGUACACACUUCAAACUAAAACAGAAAAGGAAAUCUGUAACAGUAUGGAAUUGAAGAACAAUGACUUAGCUGGACCGUGCUGCUGAUCAUCCUAGCUCUGAAUACCACUUGAUACGGCCAGCAAGGGAAGACAGUCCAGAUCCAUGAGCUUAGGCAAUGGAACCGUGAAUGUGGAACGAUAUAUGAAGUUGAAACUGAGUGUAUGUGGCAGCGGAAGAUCUGAUUGAAUGAAGAGUGAUUUAGUAGCAGCGGAGGUGUUUGGAUAAUGGUUGAAGCUGGUGAUUGAAGUGCUUAUGGUGGCAGGAGUACUAGCUCAGAAAGCCCUCUCUAGGAAGGAAGCUAGAGGAGAAGGAAAAGAAGCACAAAGGAAUUUGACUCUCGGUGGAGAGAAGACGCUGGAAAAUGCUUCAGCAUAUCUAUUCUCUCAAAUAUCCAAAAGUGUAGUUACAAACUAUGCCAAGAGGUUUUAUAGAUGAACCUCUCGGCCUCCACAAGGAAAAAUGCCUAUGCCAACUAAUCAACAUGUGCUAAAGGAGCUUGGCUUCUAGAAAGCCUUAGGAAUCACGUGACAAAUGAGUUUUAUACAUGUGGAGGAAAAACAAUUACUAAUGCAGCCCCUUAUGAGGAUAAGCACACCCCUCCUUUGUAGAAAUGUCCACUUUACCCCUCUCCAUGUUCUUGGGUUAUCCUUUAUUUGGUGGGCUUGGGCCCCGCGUAUCACC